RNAcentral lists this ribosomal RNA (468 nucleotides) under uncultured bacterium. RNAcentral's name for it is "partial 16S ribosomal RNA". It matches the Rfam family "Bacterial small subunit ribosomal RNA", at positions 28 to 507 of the family's 1533-position model. The record is from RNAcentral.
GACGAACGCUGGCGGCGUGCUUAACACAUGCAAGUCGAACGGAAAGGCCCUGCUCUUGCGGGGUGCUCGAGUGGCGAACGGGUGAGUAACACGUGAGUAACCUGCCCUUGACUUUGGGAUAACUUCAGGAAACUGGGGCUAAUACCGGAUAGGAGCUCCUGCUGCAUGGUGGGGGUUGGAAAGUUUCGGCGGUUGGGGAUGGACUCGCGGCUUAUCAGCUUGUUGGUGGGGUAGUGGCUUACCAAGGCUUUGACGGGUAGCCGGCCUGGGAGGGUGACCGGCCACAUUGGGACUGAGGUACGCACCAGACUCCAACGGGCGGCAGCGGUGGAGAAUAUUACACAAUGGGCGGAAGCCUGAUGCAACAACGCCGCGAGCGUAAUGAUGGCCUUCGGGUUGUAAACCGCUUUCGCCUGUGACGAAGCGUGAGUGACGGUAAUGGGUAAAGAAGCACCGGCUAACUACGUG